Molecule: long non-coding RNA, 238 nt
Filed under: Elaeis guineensis (African oil palm)
Lineage: Eukaryota; Viridiplantae; Streptophyta; Magnoliopsida; Arecales; Arecaceae
Description: long non-coding RNA (EGUI_LNC038259)
Source: RNAcentral
CUGGACAACAUUGCCAUUGGAGGAAGAAGAGAGUGAGUUGCUACCAUACGACAUGCAUUUAGCGGGCCUAAAUUUAAUCGUGAUUGAAGUUUGAUUGAGCAAUUUGAUGUUGUUUAGAGGUCUAAGUGGAUAGAGCACUCUACAAGGAUAUUUUUGGAUUUUCAUGAUUAGAAUCUCACAUCGGGGACUAUAAGUCAUAAAAUGGUCUAUCUGUAGACCAAAAAUACAAGUCUCAGCC